RNAcentral lists this transfer RNA (74 nucleotides) under Cordylochernes scorpioides. RNAcentral describes it as "tRNA-Thr". It matches the Rfam family "tRNA". From Rfam's summary of the family: Transfer RNA (tRNA) molecules are approximately 80 nucleotides in length. Their secondary structure includes four short double-helical elements and three loops (D, anti-codon, and T loops). The record is from RNAcentral. Lineage: Eukaryota; Metazoa; Arthropoda; Arachnida; Pseudoscorpiones; Chernetidae.
UCCAGGGUAGCCUAGUGGACAUGGCAUCUGCCCCGUAAGCGGAACACUGUGGGUUCGAUUCCCAUCCCUGGUAA